UCCCUGACAGUCCAGUGGUUAAGACUCUGCGCUUCUAAUACAGGGGACACAGGUUUGAUCCCUGGUCAGAGAA
Molecule: transfer RNA, 73 nt
Organism: Ovis aries (sheep)
Lineage: Eukaryota; Metazoa; Chordata; Mammalia; Artiodactyla; Bovidae
Rfam family: tRNA
About the family: Transfer RNA (tRNA) molecules are approximately 80 nucleotides in length. Their secondary structure includes four short double-helical elements and three loops (D, anti-codon, and T loops).
Source: Rfam